GGGGGGGAGAGAGAGAGCGCUAAUAUAAACCACAAGAGAGAGAGAGAGAGGAGGAGGAGGAGGAGGAGGAAGGGGGAGAGAGGUCAGUUUUGCUUAUGUGAUUGAACUAUACUGGCUAGUAGCGGUUGAGGUCUCUGCAUCUUCUUUUAAAGCCUCUGCAAUUAGAUGGGAAAGAGUAAGACAAUUGAAUUGUCUGGGUUUCCCUACGUCUUGCCUGGGGAAAUAGUUAAGGAAUUCGUAGAGCAAUACACAGGCAGAGGAACAGUAGAUUCUUUAGAGGUUAAGGAGCCUGAAAAUAACUGGUCAGGAGCAUAUGCCAUAGUUCAAUUCGCCACUACCAAAAGUGCUGAUAAGAUUAUCAACUUGGCUAAGCAAAACUUGUGUUAUAGAAGAUCCUAUUUGAAGGCUGUCGCAAAGAACUUUUAUUUAGUACCGAAGCCAAAGAAAUAUGAACAUGUCAUGGAAGGUGUAACUAUAUAUUGUGGAUGUCAGAUCUCAAAGGAGAAGUUUUCAGUGCUCUGGGAAAGGGAAGAUAUCUCCGUAAAAUUUGAUUUUGGACUAAGAAAACUGUAUUUCUUCAUGUCCUACUUUGAUCUUGAGUACAAGCUUGAGCUAUUUUAUGAGAACAUCUUGCAGAUUGAGCUAUAUCAACCACCUGGUCAAACAGCAAAGUUUCUGCUCAUUCAGUUGCUUGGUGCUCCCCGCAUCUACAAGACAUGUAAACAAUCUGUUUACAUCUAUCAUAAGGAAGCUCCUAAAGACCAAUGGGUCAGGGCCACGGAUUUCACUUUAUUGAGCUGCAUUGGCCAAUCUACAGCUUUCUGUUUGGAGCUUUCAGAUGGUAUUCGACUUUUGAACUUGAGUCAAUACUUCCCUUCUUACAGAGAAAAUGAAGGGCCGUUCAUUUUGGGGGAGGGGUUUCCUUACUCGUGCAAUUUGGAUCUGGUACCCAUUGUUGGUCCACCUGAUGAUAUUGACUUGCCAUAUAAAGUACUAUUUAAGAUCUGCAUGCUGGUUCAAGAAGGAUAUCUCUCAGGACCCACACUUGAUAUCGACUUCUUUAAGUUGGUUGAGUCCCGGGAUAUUGACGUCAAAUGUGUUGAACAUGCCCUAGACACACUAUAUCAUUUAAAGGAGUGCUGCUAUGAACCUUUGACGUGGCUCAGGGAGGAAUACAGUAAAUACCACAACUUAAGAAAACUUCCCAGAACACCUACCAUUAAAUUAGGUGAUGGAUUGGUGUAUGUACACAGGGUUCAAAUAACCCCUUCCAAAGUGUAUUUUUGUGGUCCAGAGGUUAAUAUGUCUAAUCGGGUAUUACGCCAUUAUCAUGAAGAUAUUGAGAAUUUCCUUAGGGUUUCUUUCGUGGAUGAGGAAUUGGGGAAGAUGUUUUCAACCGAGUUAUCCACACGGACACCCUUUUCAGGUGAGGAAAAAAGAACUCAAAUUUAUGGGCGGAUAUUAUUGGUUCUCAGGGACGGCAUUGUUAUUGGAAAUAAGAAAUUUGAUUUUCUUGCCUUCUCAGCAAGUCAAUUGCGCGAUAAUUCUGCAUGGAUGUUUGCUUCAAGAAAUGGGCGUUCUGCUGCUGACAUAAGAAAUUGGAUGGGCGACUUUCAUCGGAUCAGAAACGUAGCAAAAUAUGCCGCAAGACUUGGUCAAUCUUUCAGUUGCUCCACGGAAACUUUGAGUGUUGGUAGGCAUGAAAUUAAAGUUAUUCCUGAUGUAGAGAUUUUACGAGAUGGAAUCAAAUAUGUUUUCUCUGACGGAAUCGGAAAAAUGUCUGCCGAAUUUGCUCGCAGUGUGGCCAAGAAAUGUGGGCUUAAAAGGUCAACUCCUUCUGCCUUCCAAAUCCGAUAUGGCGGUUACAAAGGAGUUGUGGCUGUGGAUCCCACAUCACGAACAAAGAUGUCCUUAAGACCAAGUAUGUGCAAAUACGAAUCCAACAACACGAAAUUGGAUGUUUUGGAUUGGAGCAAAUAUCACCCUUGUUUCUUGAAUCGCCAAAUGAUCACUCUUUUAUCUACCCUUGAGGUUAAUGAUGAUAUCUUUGAAAAGAAGCAAAGCGAAGCGGUAGAACAACUAGGUACCAUAUUAACAGAUCCGUUAAGGGCUCAGGAUGCCUUGGAACUGAUGUCUCCAGGUGAGAAUGCAAACAUUCUUAAGGAAAUGCUUCUGUGUGGCUACAAGCCUGAUGCUGAACCUUUCCUCUCGAUGAUGCUGCAAACCUUUAGGGCAGCAAAGUUGUUCGAAAUGCGAACUAGAACAAGGAUAUUUGUUCCAAGAGGAAGGUAUAUGAUGGGAUGUCUCGAUGAAACCAGAACAUUGGAAUAUGGAGAGGUAUUUGUACAAAUUUCUGAGGCUGGAAACAAGUUAUUUCGUGAUACUAAUUCCCUUCUUAUGCAUAGGAGAAGUGACUCGAAUCAGGGUCAUCAUAUUGUUAAGGGUACGGUAUUUGUUGCCAAAAACCCUUGCUUGCACCCUGGUGACGUUCGGGUCCUAACAGCUGUAGAUGUUCCAGCGUUGCACCACAUGGUGGAUUGUGUGGUUUUCCCACAAAAAGGAAUGAGACCUCAUCCGAAUGAAUGCUCAGGAAGUGAUUUGGAUGGAGACAUGUAUACUGUUUGUUGGGACCCUGAUCUUAUUCCACCGCGGCAAAUCGAUGCCAUGGAUUAUAGCCCUGCACCAACUAAGGAGGUGGAUCACGAUGUCACGAUUGAGGAAGUUGAGGAGUAUUUCACGAACUAUAUAGUCAACGAUAGCCUGGGUAUUAUAGACAGUGCUCACACGGUUUUUGCAGACAAUGAACCUAAAAAAGCCAUGAGCGCUCCUUGUUUGAAGCUCGCAGAGCUACACUCAAUCGCGGUUGACUUCCCUAAGACCGGCGUGCCAGCAGAGAUACCUCGUGAAUUACGAGUCCAAACAUAUCCAGAUUUCAUGGAAAAGCCUGACAAACCUACUUACAAAUCAAAACGCGUGCUCGGAAAGCUUUUCCGAGCCGUGAAAAACAUUGCCCCAGAAACGAGCUCCACCAAGUCCUUCACAAAGGAAGUGGCUGAGAGUUCGUAUGAUCCCGAUUUGGAAGUGGAAGGUUUCAGGGAUUAUCUCGACGACGCUUUUGAUUACAAGACCGAGUAUGAUUACAAGCUGGGAAACCUGAUGGAUUACUAUGAGAUCAAUACGGAAGCGGAACUUCUAAGCAGCAGUAUAAUGAGAAUGACAUCAUCUUCCGAGCGGAACAAGGACGCGGAAGACGUCGGAUUGGCCGUGAAGGCGUUGAGGAUGGAAGCGAGGACGUGGUUCGACGCGGAUGCUGAAGGUGAAGAUGUUUAUGCAAAAGCGUCAGCUUGGUACCAUGUUACCUAUCACCAUAGCUACUGGGGUCAAUAUAACGUGGGAUUGGACCGUGACCACUUCAUUAGCUUCCCGUGGUGUGUCUACGAUAAGCUGAUCCACAUCAAGAAAGAUAGAGCUAGCAUUACAAGGGCUCCCCGUCUGUCAUCGCUUGAACGGCAAUUCAGUCAGGAGUUGAACUUGGGGUAGAAAAUUUUCUUUUCUUAUUUUUUAUUUAUUUAUCUAAGAUAGAAGAAUUCCAGUGUGGUUGCCAAAGUGUUCGAUAUUGUAUUGUUUAAGCGUGUCUAUUGUGAACUUUGCUGCUUAUUUCUGUGUACGUAUAUGCCUGAACUGUUUGAUGUACAUACAGUUUGGUGGUGUGAUUGGAACUUGGUAUUCGAGAAUGCUGGAAUUUACUGAUGAAAUCCUGUAACUAGAAGUAUGUUACUGGAAAGUUAUUUGGCUUCUUGUGUUUUGCUA
RNA transcript from Rhododendron vialii, 3810 nucleotides. It is a transcript of the gene named probable RNA-dependent RNA polymerase 1, with no coding region annotated. The transcript has 6 exons. The record is from RefSeq and is a predicted model, not a curated record. Lineage: Eukaryota; Viridiplantae; Streptophyta; Magnoliopsida; Ericales; Ericaceae.